This 213-nucleotide ribosomal RNA is filed under the name uncultured Glomus. RNAcentral describes it as "partial 18S ribosomal RNA". It matches the Rfam family "Eukaryotic small subunit ribosomal RNA", at positions 569 to 785 of the family's 1831-position model. Lineage: Eukaryota; Fungi; Glomeromycota; Glomeromycetes; Glomerales; Glomeraceae. The record is from RNAcentral.
AGCAGCCGCGGUAAUUCCAGCUCCAAUAGCGUAUAUUAAAGUUGUUGCAGUUAAAAAGCUCGUAGUUGAAUUUCGGAAUCGACGGAUUGGUCGCGCCUUUGGUGUGUACUGGUCUUGCCGGUUUCUCCCUUCUGACGAACCACGAUGUCAUUAAUUUGGUGUCGCGGGGAAUCAGGACUGUUACUUUGAAAAAAUUAGAGUGUUUAAGCAGGC